This 241-nucleotide ribosomal RNA is filed under the name uncultured bacterium. RNAcentral describes it as "partial 16S ribosomal RNA". It matches the Rfam family "Bacterial small subunit ribosomal RNA", at positions 92 to 334 of the family's 1533-position model. The record is from RNAcentral.
CGACCGGCGCACGGGUGAGUAACGCGUAUGCAACCUGCCCGAUACCGGGGUAUAGCCCAUGGAAACGUGGAUUAACACCCCAUAGUACUUUUAUCCUGCAUGGGAUGUGAGUUAAAUGUUCAAGGUAUCGGAUGGGCAUGCGUCCUAUUAGUUAGUUGGCGGGGUAACAGCCCACCAAGACGAUGAUAGGUAGGGGCUCUGAGAGGAAGGUCCCCCACAUUGGAACUGAGACACGGUCCAA